CUCGUUGCAGAUCCGCUGAAUUGUUUGUGUUUUGACAUGCUCGCAAUUGCAUGUGCAGUGGCAUUAAUAACGUUGCUAGAAGAUUUGAAGACUGGUUAAUGGAACAUUUUUAAUAGUUUUCGGGAAGGAAACACAAAACGCCAACCAAAAUGUUCUUACUACCUCAUAAUGAAACUAUUGCCACAACCGCUGUCUGCAAGUACAUUUCGAAGUUGGAAAGUGAAGAGAAUAUUGUGUUUAUGCGAGAAUUACCUGGAGCAAAUGUGAUGCUGAUAAAUGUAAUCUAUUUGGCACCCAGCAGUAAGCGUUAUACGUAUGUCUUACGUUCGGUGUACAAGAACGUCAUUGAUGGCGAAUCUAAUAACAACAAUGAAAGUAAUAAUAAUGAUUGUUGCGACGCCGAAGAGAACAGGCAUUGUUAUGCCCUAAAUAGAUAGUAAUAUUAUCAAGAGAUUAACCGCGAAGACUGGUUAGAACUGAUGGAUCAGUGAUUCUGCAUUAAAAGUGUUCCGAGGAUUGAACGAAGACAGCAGUAGUGAGAGAAUGAACUGCGGCAGUCAAACAACAGAGGUGGUUUCAUCUGAGGACAUGGGACAAAUGUAUAUAUAUGUCAGUCAAGGAAAGAACGUGCCAGAUAGAAAGUUAUUGGUUGAUUCUCAGUUAAUAUGUUUUUCAUAGGCUGACAGUAAGAUUAGCUGUAUACAGCAGAAAUGUAUACAAAAUGUCAUUACACAUACAACUGCCAUUUGUAUGCUGUUAGGAUAUGCAUGUAGUGAUAGUUUACCUUGAAGUUUGUAUGCAAUUGUGAACUGAUGCCCAUCCUCUAAAUGAAUCGUUUAGGAAAUUUUGUUAAAAAGUUGCACCACCCGUAUGCUUACUUCCCAUGCCCUCGUAAGUGUUACUGUCAAGUAAUAGGAAGCAAGAAUGCCUUGACCUUGAUUUUUAUUAAUAGGUGUUCUUUGCUGAGGAUGGCCUAUGUCGGAGUCCCAGACCCUUCAGAGAGUUCUUUUUGAGAGGCAAUAGAGCAAUGUGUCUAAAUUUGGUUACAUUUUUAUGAUGCACCUUGUAAUGUAGGCUACUGUAAAUUAUAAUUCCACAGAGGCAGUUGGGCAAAAUAUUUGAUACAGGUGUCUUUAAAAUUGUACCAUACUUUUUACAGAGCAGUGACAGUUCUUGUACUGUAUUAUCUUGAAGUGUUCAUUGGAAUUUUUUUUCUAUGAUCUUAAUGUACAGGGCUGCCUAUUCAGAUAGUUAUGUAGAUAUUUUUGAGUUGUUAUUCAGUUGGUUUGUUUCUAGUUGUUUUCCUCCUCCCUGAUAUACAAUAUUGCUUCCACCUGUCAAAAUAGUAUCUGUGUAUGGAAGUUUUAUUGAGGCUAUGUAUAUGCUGUACAGACGCCAUCUUUUAACAACUGAAAAAGCAAUGCAUUUCUUAUUGUAUUGUAUAUAGUUGUUCAUUGAAUCUUUUGUUUAGAACUGAUAUGCUAUGUGAUGUUGGGCAUAUGAAGAAUUAAAUGCUUUUGUGACUAUAGAAUCAUAUAAUUAGUUACAUGUAAAGUAAAUUAAUAAUGAAGUAUUUCUACAUUGUCUUUCCAAUUGGCUUAGGUUAAAGCAUAUGCUUAUAGGCUGCACAAACUCUGUAUGAUUCAUGUUGCGGCCGAAGUGGCCGUGCGGUUAAAGGCGCGGCAGUCUGGAACCGCAAGACCGCUACGGUCGCCGGUUCGAAUCCUGCCUCGGGUAUGGAUGUUUGUGAUGUCCUUAGGUUAGUUAGGUUUAACUAGUUCUAAGCUCUAGGGGACUAAUGACCUCAGCAGUUGAGUCCCAUAGUGCUCAGAGCCAGCCAUUCGUGUUGUUUGCUUUUACUGUAAUUAACUCCCUUACAUACCCACCUUUUUUAUACAUCUUAGUGGAUUGCUGAGUAACUCAUCCUUACCUUAAUUAACAAUAUAUACAUAUUUCUUAGUUCAGAAACUUUAAAUCUAUUGAUGGCUUUGUUUACCAGUGUGUGUGUUUCUUUUUGAUAGAAGCUAGUUUCAUUUGUGAAGAGGAUGGGUUUUUGAGCUACAUCUCCUCUGAGCUGUGCAGCAGUUACAAAUAAUUCAUUAUAUGGAAGAGAGUGGUAAUUGCAGUUCAUACAAAGUUUGGUUUGUGCCGUUUUUUCUCUCCUUCCAUGAUCCUCCAAUAAAAAGAUGCUUGAUGUGUCCAAGAGAAUAACACAUGUACUUCACAUAGGUGAAGUGUAUAAUUUUUCAGAUACUACUUAUACCAGAAGUGUUCCAGGAUUCUCAUUAAGUAACACAUUGCCAGUGAAUUCUUACAGGCAUUUCCAUUGUACUUACUACUUAAUCUGGAGCACCUGUAAUUUUACAAAACACUGUGAACAACUUUUCACUGUAAAUUGUUCUUGUUUUGUAAACAAAGUUCAUAGCCCUUUCAUCUCAAUGGAAAACAAUUUUGGUCAUUUGAUGUUUCCAAAACACUUUUAUUUUGCUUCCUUCAUAUACUGUUCAGUUUUGUUGCCUAGUUACAUUUUCAUUAGAGGCUGUGAAGUUUUGGUUGUCUUUUUGUAAAUGAUGUAUAUGGUUUUCUGCCUGGUCUUCCAGUAGGAUAUGAAUUUUGCCUUUUCAUUUUUUGUUAUUUGCUAUACACUGAACAGCAGUAUUUCUUUUGUUACUGGUUAGUGCACUUUGCAGUUGACAAAAGCCACUGGAUUAAAAUGUUUUCUUCAUCUUCAGGGAGUAUAACAAGAGGAAAGUUAAGCAAUCUGAAAAUUUUGCUGCCUACCAUGUAAUACAAUUUCACCUUUAACAGCCCAAGUCUGUGGCUGCCUUAGCUAUUGGAAUACCUUCCUAGGCAGCUUCUGUGACUAUUGUCAUUUAUUCAGACUUGUAAUUUCUAUUGCCACCUAUACCUGGAAUGAGGUGCUCCAGUUAUUGACAACCAGUUGUUCCAGCGAUUGGAAUGAAAAUCUACAGAAAUAAAAUUCCUAAAUAGAAAUUCAUAAUGUAAUUAAUUUUUGUCAGUGAUUUGUUUUGUACUUCGUGUAGAAUUGAGACCUUGGUGCCAGUCAUUAACAGGGUUGUCAAAGACUGAAAUACCCACCAUUAAUAUUGACAGCUCAGUUUGAUCUUAUUUUUAACAUUUUGCUUUACAUCCUACUGUAUCAUGGAUCAGUCCAAUAUACUAUUAUUACUGAAUUUAACUUGUGAGUAUUACAUAUGAUGCAUUAAAGAGGAGCCUUGCCUCAACUUUUAGUCUUGUCGUCAGAACAUCAACAAUCACCUCACAAUUCAUUUUCACUCCAUAAGAUAGGCUACAAUGUUAUCAUACAGUAAGUUCCAUUGCCCAUAUCAAAGAGAAUGGACUUCACUUUUCUUAUUAUGUAACAAAAUUGAGAGACCAUAAGUGUUAGACUGGAGCACUGUUCAAGAGUGGAACUUAUGCUUUAUUGAUGUUUGUGUUAAUGUCUGUAUUACAUUAUCUGUUUUAGAAAAUUAAUACAAAUGUUUUAUUUCAUUUAUACUGCAUGAAUUUCAUUUUACAAAAUUUGAAGUAUUUUCAACUAUAUUCCAUCUGAUCAGUACCUGAUUAGUAUUGCAACAAUAUUAAUUCCAGGUAGUAUCAUCCACAAAUGAGGUGGCCACUAGUGCAGACCUUUGUGAUGCACCAUAUUUAAUGAGUAGUACAUAUAUUUUUUGUUAUUGUCAUAAAAUUGCACAGCAGCCAAUUACUUCCGUCCACUACAGUAUAAUCUGAGCCACCAACUGAGCAUAUUUAUGACUAGUGCUAAUAAAGUUUGUGCAGUAAUGGUUUUAGAAUUAUGACACCAGAAGUUCAGGCAUCUUAAGACAGAUACCACUUAUAUCUCCAGAAUUUAAAAACUGUAUUUUCUAUAAAUUGGUUCUUCUUAAAAUAAUGUUGUACACAGGAUAAGAGAGCCUGUUGAAAUCUCAGUGGAAUUUCUUUAUUGUAUUCUACAAUUUGUAAGUGUCCAGGCAGUUUGGAAACAGAUGUGUGUAAUUUAUUUCUUAUUUUCCCCAUUUCAUUUAUUGUGGUUUGAGCUUCACAUGUAAGAAACUAAACCAGCAUACAAAAGGACUCUCACUAUUUUGAAACAAAGUGUCAGACAAGUAACGUCUGCAUGCCCCUUUCAUAACAUUCAGUUUUUCCUUUUUAAAUAUGUUUCUGAAGAUGGUACUAUCUUUCCACUGAAAUGUGGGCAGCAUCUUUCAGUACCUCAGAUUUUUCUGUAAAUGUUCCUUCUUCAUAGACAUAGCUUCUUUUUUUUAGAGCUGGUUAUGUGAGAAGGGUUUAAUGAAGUCUUCAAUGCUCUUUUGCCAGCUCAAACCAGACUGUGUACUGUGAAUGUAACAUAAACGUCUGGCUACACUGCAGAUCAGUACACCACCACAACUAAGAUUUCUUAUUCAUGUUUCUUGGGUUCACCAAUUCACAACCAAACUCCCACCGGAACCUACAUUCAUGUACAUAAUGCAGAUGCAAAACUAAUAUUAAAUAAUGUCAGCAUACCGGUGUCUCUUUGCAUGCGCACACAUCACCACAUGCAACACUGCUUUUUUGGGUGAGCCUGCAGGUGCCUGUUCCUUUUCUGUCCAUCAGUAAUCUUCAGUUCUUGGUGAUGAAUGUCUGGCAUAUACAAGUUAUUGUUUUCUUGUUCCUAUUUUCUGUUGCACAUGGAAUGACAAGAGGAUUUCAUCCAUAUCUUUACAUGCACUGCCACUGGUGCUCUGGUUUUUGUUUCACAUUAUCAAUGGGUUGCAGCUAUUACAUACCCAUUUAAUAAAACUGUAUUUCUUCCCGUGAUAACUGUGUUGCAUAUGUUGGCAGCCUUGUGAAUUUUUGGCUGUCACACAUUACCUCCUCCUUUGUUCCAUAAUAUUUUUACUUAUUAUUUGUGUUAGUGGCAUUUAUGUUGAGAAUAGAGAAUAUCAGUGUUCCAUCUGAAUUUUUUGCCUUUUGGACAGUUAUUUUUGCUGAAUAUUUGGUUAUUAGCAAAUGAAUUAUUUGUAUUACUUGUAUUUAUAAAAUACUUGUUUGUGUAUUACUUUGUUAAUAGAAACAUUAUUCUUUACCUGAUACACUGCCAGUUCUCAACCUAGUUCUACAAACUUUUCAGCUUCUUCAGUCAGUUAUUGUAUACUUACAGCUUGUAUAAGAAGGAAGAAUGGCAUGCAUGCACAACUUUAAUUUAAGUUCACAAAUAUUGUAAGAAUACUUUGUGUAUUCAGAACUGUCAUGCCCACAUUAAUGGCACGUAACAUCAUCGCACAUACAAUAUACGUGUCCAAAGUGAUUUCAUAAUUGAGUAGCACAGCACAAGCGAAUUGCUUUGUUGUGCCCACAGAACACACAUUUGCGUACUACUAAUGUUACCAACUGCACCCAGAUCCUGACUGCCAUUUGUAUCUGUGUAUGGUCAUGUAAAAUGAGAUUCCUGCCAUUAAGUCAGACAUCUCUGAUUACUCUAUAGUUAAUUUUUCAUAGCUAAACUUAAUUUUGUGUCGACCUCAAGGAAUAUAUCAGCCUGAAUAGUAAGUUAUUCUAUAUUUAUCAAAAAAAGCCUCACUUACUGUUAGUGGUAUAUCAUAAGACUGUUUGUUCUGUCUCUCUAGUAGUAGAGUUUAAUGUGUAAAUUGUUUCUAAGUUUCAUAGAAGGUUGUAUUUUCUUAAUAAAUUUUUGAAAACUA
This is a long non-coding RNA of Schistocerca serialis cubense, 5705 nucleotides long. RefSeq lists it as uncharacterized. NCBI's taxonomy places the organism in Eukaryota, Metazoa, Arthropoda, Insecta, Orthoptera, Acrididae. The record is from RefSeq and is a predicted model, not a curated record. The transcript has 2 exons.